UCCAAGAAGAGAUGCUGGCCUAUUGCAGGUAUAGUUUUUCCCUGCUUCUUGCUUUAAUUUUAUAUUUUAUGUUUCGUAUUUUUUAAUAUUUCCUUGUAUGUAUUAAUAGAUCGGAUGUGGAUAUUCUUCGCCACUGUUGCCUGGAGUUUCGAGCCCAGUUUUUGGAUGUGGCGGGUGUGGAUCCAUUCCAAUACGUGACCAAUGCGUCAGCCUGUAUGACAACGUGCAAGUGGCCACAUUCAAGCUGUCACAAUAGCCAUAGUGCCCACAUACGGAUACGUCAACUCCAUCAAUUACAGCCCUGAUUCGAUCUGGUGGUUGGACUUUGUUGCUGAUUCAGAAGGUCUACAGAUUUAACGUGCUCUGAAUGGCUCCGGAGAGCACAGAAUCGCCAGAAUCUCUGUAGACGGUUUCUGCCAAGUAACACAAACCGUCUAUCAGUUUCAGGGCUGUUUCUUUCAUGGAUGUAGUUCCUAUUAUAACGGUGAUAUCAUUCAUCCUUUGAAAGGGGUUUCCAUGGCAACGUUGAGAGAGAAAACGGAAGAAACCACAAGAAAACUUCCCAGGGUUUGACAGUCAUUGAAAUGUGGGAGCAUGAGUUUCAAAGGCAGAAGGAGGAAAAUCUAGAUCUCCAAGCUUUCCUGGAUCAACACCAUCUGAGGGACCGGCUCAAUCCUCGCGAAUCAUUUUUCGGAGGACGGACCAAUGCCCUCAAAUUGUUCCACGAGGGAGACGCAAAAUAU
Stegodyphus dumicola is the source of this 743-nucleotide long non-coding RNA. The record is from RefSeq and is a predicted model, not a curated record. NCBI's taxonomy places the organism in Eukaryota, Metazoa, Arthropoda, Arachnida, Araneae, Eresidae.